UUACACAAAUAUGAAGGCGGGCUGGAACCUCUCGGGGUUACAGCCUUGCUGAAUUAUUCACCCUUGUCUUUUGCGUACUUCUUGUUUCCUUGGUGGGUUCGCCCACCACUAGGACAAACAUAAACCUUUUGUAAUUGCAAUCAGCGUCAGUAACAAAUUAAUAAUUACAACUUUCAACAACGGAUCUCUUGGUUCUGGCAUCGAUGAAGAACGCAGCGAAAUGCGAUAAGUAGUGUGAAUUGCAGAAUUCAGUGAAUCAUCGAAUCUUUGAACGCACAUUGCGCCCUUUGGUAUUCCAAAGGGCAUGCCUGUUCGAGCGUCAUUUGUACCCUCAAGCUUUGCUUGGUGUUGGGCGUCUUGUCUCUAGCUUUGCUGGAGACUCGCCUUAAAGUAAUUGGCAGCCGGCCUACUGGUUUCGGAGCGCAGCACAAGUCGCACUCUCUAUCAGCAAAGGUCUAGCAUCCAUUAAGCCUUUUUUUCAACUUUUGACCUCGGAUCAGGUAGGGAUACCCGCUGAACUUAAGCAUAUCAAUAAGCGGAGGAAAAGAAACCAACAGGGAUUGCCCUAGUAACGGCGAGUGAAGCGGCAACAGCUCAAAUUUGAAAUCUGGCUCUUUUAGAGUCCGAGUUGUAAUUUGCAGAGGGCGCUUUGGCUUUGGCAGCGGUCCAAGUUCCUUGGAACAGGACGUCACAGAGGGUGAGAAUCCCGUACGUGG
RNAcentral lists this ribosomal RNA (716 nucleotides) under fungal endophyte. Its description in RNAcentral is "eukaryotic LSU rRNA". The stretch from base 487 to 716 matches the Rfam family "Eukaryotic large subunit ribosomal RNA", at positions 1 to 228 of the family's 3401-position model. The record is from RNAcentral. Lineage: Eukaryota; Fungi.